Molecule: ribosomal RNA, 828 nt
Filed under: Knufia peltigerae
Lineage: Eukaryota; Fungi; Ascomycota; Eurotiomycetes; Chaetothyriales; Trichomeriaceae
Description: eukaryotic LSU rRNA
Rfam family: Eukaryotic large subunit ribosomal RNA
Source: RNAcentral
ACGGCGAGUGAAGCGGCAACAGCUCAAAUUUGAAAUCUGGCCUUACGGUCCGAGUUGUAAUUUGUAGAGGAUGUUUUGUGGGUACCGCCGCGGUUUAAAUUUCUUGGAACAGAAUGUCAAAGAGGGUGAGAGUCCCGUCUUGGAUCGCGGUAGGGCCUGUGUAAAACUCCUUCGACGAGUCGACUUGUUUGGGAAUGCAGGUCAAAAUGGGUGGUAAAUUUCAUCUAAAGCUAAAUAUUGGCCAGAGACCGAUAGCGCACAAGUAGAGUGAUCGAAAGAUGAAAAGCACUUUGAAAAGAGAGUUAAACAGUAUGUGAAAUUGUUGAAAGGGAAGCGCUGGCAACCAGACUCGUGCGCGGGGUUCCCCCUUGCUUCUGCUUGGGUCACUUCCCCGUGUCCGGGCCAUCAUCAGUUUCGGGGGCCGGUUAAAGGCUCUGGGAAUGUAUCUACUCCUUCGGGGGUAGACUUAUAGCCCAGGGUGUCAUGCGGCCACUCGGGACUGAGGAACGCGCUUCGGCGAGGAUGAUGGCGUAAUGGUUGUCAGCGACCCGUCUUGAAACACGGACCAAGGAGUCUAACAUCUAUGCGAGUGUUCGGGUGUCAAACCCUUGCGCGGAAUGAAAGUGAACGGAGGUAGGAAGGCUUAAGCCUGCACUAUCGACCGAUCCUGAUGUCUUCGGAUGGAUUUGAGUAAGAGCAUAGCUGUUGGGACCCGAAAGAUGGUGAACUAUGCGUGAAUAGGGUGAAGCCAGAGGAAACUCUGGUGGAGGCUCGCAGCGGUUCUGACGUGCAAAUCGAUCGUCAAAUUUGCGUAUAGGGGCGAAAGAC